This 625-nucleotide long non-coding RNA is filed under the name Vulpes vulpes (red fox). Its description in RNAcentral is "lncRNA (ENSVVUG00000025583.1)". Lineage: Eukaryota; Metazoa; Chordata; Mammalia; Carnivora; Canidae. The record is from RNAcentral.
UAAAAACAUAUGAAACAAUAGGAGAUAUAUCAAGUACUCCAUAAAUAUCUCUUCAAUGAAGGAAAAGUUAGUAAACCUCUUUUUAAAAGUAUUGUGAAGAUUAACUGUGAUAGAUUUGGAAACACUUUAUAAAUUCUUUUAAACUGCUAAUUGAUAUCACUUUUAGGCUAAUUGUGAUCCAGGUUAUGUUUACUACUCUUAGAGGUUAUGAAAAUAGGAAUAGUAUUUGAUCUUGAAAAAUAUAUGUAUUUCUAAAAAAUUCUUAUUUACUGUAUCCCCUCCUAGAUAUCUUCCACAGGUUUUAACAUAUCAGUUUGAAUAAGGCACAGAAUUAAAACAAUGUACUCCUUCAUGGGAUUGAGUCACAUGUCUACCUCUAAAGAAAUCACUAGAAAGGGAAGUGAGAUUAUAGUACUGAAAUUAAGGAAGCACAUUGCUAUGUGGUGAAUGAAUUACCUGGAAAAAAAGAAAGGCUCUAACAAAAGAAGAAAGGAAGGAUGGAAUAGAAACUGACAUUCCAUCUUCUGUAUCUUCCUAGUCAUCCUACAUUCAAGCAAAAUUUUGUUCUGUAUCCUUUCUUGAAGUCUUCUUUUUUGCUCUACUCUAUCAUAAACAUGUCUCCAUG